This 253-nucleotide ribosomal RNA is filed under the name uncultured bacterium. Its description in RNAcentral is "partial 16S ribosomal RNA". It matches the Rfam family "Bacterial small subunit ribosomal RNA", at positions 524 to 776 of the family's 1533-position model. The record is from RNAcentral.
UACGGGGGGGGCAAGCGUUGUUCGGAAUUACUGGGCGUAAAGGGCUCGUAGGCGGCCAACUAAGUCGGAUGUGAAAUCCCCAGGCUUAACCUGGGAAUUGCAUCCGAUACUGGAUGGCUUGAAUCCGGGAGAGGGAUGCGGAAUUCCAGGUGUAGCGGUGAAAUGCGUAGAUAUCUGGAGGAACACCGGUGGCGAAGGCGGCAUCCUGGACCAACACUGACACUGAGGAGCGAAAGCCAGGGGAGCAAACGGG